Mycena rosella is the source of this 92-nucleotide non-coding RNA. The record is from the annotation of a GenBank genome assembly. NCBI's taxonomy places the organism in Eukaryota, Fungi, Basidiomycota, Agaricomycetes, Agaricales, Mycenaceae.
UCGGGUGUGGUGUACCGAACACCGCGCGCCUUCUUUAGAUGAUGGGAGAAGGUGAGUGGGCGCAGACCGGGGUUCGACUCCCCGCGCCCGAA